This 250-nucleotide ribosomal RNA is filed under the name uncultured bacterium. RNAcentral's name for it is "partial 16S ribosomal RNA". It matches the Rfam family "Bacterial small subunit ribosomal RNA", at positions 100 to 353 of the family's 1533-position model. The record is from RNAcentral.
GGACGGGUGAGUAAUGCCUAGGAAUCUGCCCAUUAGCGGGGGACAACGUGUGGAAACGCACGCUAAUACCGCAUACGCCCUACGGGGGAAAGCAGGGGAUCUUCGGACCUUGCGCUAAUAGAUGAGCCUAAGUCGGAUUAGCUAGUUGGUGGGGUAAAGGCCUACCAAGGCGACGAUCUGUAGCGGGUCUGAGAGGAUGAUCCGCCACACUGGGACUGAGACACGGCCCAGACUCCUACGGGAGGCAGCA